CCUACGGGAGGCAGCAGUGGGGAAUCUUGCACAAUGGGCGAAAGCCUGAUGCAGCGAUGCCGCGUGCGGGAAGAAGGCCCUAGGGUUGUAAACCGCUUUCAGGAGGGAAGAAAAUGACGGUACCUCCAGAAGAAGGUGCGGCCAACUACGUGCCAGCAGCCGCGGUGACACGUAGGCACCAAGCGUUAUCCGGAUUUAUUGGGCGUAAAGAGCUCGUAGGCGGUUUGGUAAGUCGGGUGUGAAAACUCUGGGCUCAACCCAGAGAGGCCACUCGAUACUGCUAUGACUAGAGUACGGUAGGGGAGCGGGGAAUUCCUGGUGUAGCGGUGAAAUGCGCAGAUAUCAGGAGGAACACCAGCGGCGAAGGCGCCGCUCUGGGCCGUAACUGACGCUGAGGAGCGAAAGCAUGGGUAGCAAACAGGAUUAGAUACCCUGGUAGUCCAUGCCGUAAACGUUGGGCACUAGGUGUGGGUCUCAACCAACGAGAUCCGCGCCGUCGCUAACGCAUUAAGUGCCCCGCCUGGGGAGUACGGUCGCAAGACUAAAACUCAAAGGAAUUGACGG
This 564-nucleotide ribosomal RNA is filed under the name uncultured Actinomycetes bacterium. RNAcentral describes it as "bacterial SSU rRNA". It matches the Rfam family "Bacterial small subunit ribosomal RNA", at positions 338 to 916 of the family's 1533-position model. Lineage: Bacteria; Bacillati; Actinomycetota; Actinomycetes. The record is from RNAcentral.